RNAcentral lists this long non-coding RNA (217 nucleotides) under Elaeis guineensis (African oil palm). Its description in RNAcentral is "long non-coding RNA (EGUI_LNC015734)". Lineage: Eukaryota; Viridiplantae; Streptophyta; Magnoliopsida; Arecales; Arecaceae. The record is from RNAcentral.
UUUUAACCGCGGAGUGGGGUUGUACCAGAUUGUUAAAUGGUGGCAUUCAUUGGUGAACUCGAAGAUGGUUGGCCGGUCUGACUUCGAGGUUCCAGUAGGACCCAAUGGAUCACAGCGGAAACGAGCCUGGUAACGUAAAUACAGUAGGCCGUACUGGGCACGGACAUGCAAAGACGACCGUUAGUGUUUCAGCCUUUCAGGUUACCACCUCCUGCAU